Molecule: long non-coding RNA, 382 nt
Filed under: Prunus persica (peach)
Lineage: Eukaryota; Viridiplantae; Streptophyta; Magnoliopsida; Rosales; Rosaceae
Description: long non-coding RNA (PPER_LNC007312)
Source: RNAcentral
GAUUAGCUACCAUUUUUCAUGAAGAAUUGUUUCUAGCUUAACUAUGUCAGUGAAGAAGGUUGCAUAGUGAGGUAGUGCUCUAGUCCUAAAUAGAUAUAGGUUUGUUUGAGUUUGUGAAUACCUUUAUUGUAAGAAUCUCCCUAACAUAGUGGAUUGCCUAGUUGGAGCGAAGACCCCUAAUUUUUCUCAAUGGUGGGUUUCUGGGUAAACAUGUUUGGUGUGAAUCUCUGACAUGAUGACGAAUGUUUGGUGUGAAUCUUAAUUGUUGCUAGCACAGGAGAUGCCUAGAUUGAUGGGUCAUUUUAAGUGCUUAGGUUGUCAAUUAGUCAUUGUUUAGGCUUGCAGAGGUAUGAGACUUGUGUUUGAUUGAGUGUGCUGAUUG